AUUGAACGCUGGCGGCAGGCCUAACUCAUGCAAGUCGAACGAGUGGCGGACGGGUGAGUAAUGUCUGGGAAACUGCCUGAUGGAGGGGGAUAACUACGGGAAACGGUAGCUAAUACCGCAUACCAUCGGAUGUGCCCAGGUGGGAUUAGCGAGUAGGUGGGGUAACGACUCACCUAGGCGACGAUCCCUAGCUGGUCUGAGAGGAUGACCAGCCACACUGGAGCUGAGACACGAUCCAGGCUCCUACGUGAGGCAGCAGUGGGGAAUAUUGCACGAUGGGCACAAGCCUGAUGCAGCCAUGCCGCGUGUAUGAAGAAGGCCGUCGGGUUGUAAAGUGCUUUCAGCGGGGAGGCGUUACCCGCAGAAGAAGCGCCGGCUAACUCCGUGCCAGCCGCCGCGGUAAUUC
This 406-nucleotide ribosomal RNA is filed under the name uncultured bacterium. RNAcentral's name for it is "partial 16S ribosomal RNA". It matches the Rfam family "Bacterial small subunit ribosomal RNA", at positions 30 to 526 of the family's 1533-position model. The record is from RNAcentral.